Cyprinus carpio (common carp) is the source of this 1023-nucleotide long non-coding RNA. Lineage: Eukaryota; Metazoa; Chordata; Actinopteri; Cypriniformes; Cyprinidae. The record is from Ensembl.
GGAAAAUCUGAAAAAAUCAAGAUCUCGUCACAUAAAUAUGAUUUGAAUAAAACUAUCUUUUGGCUCAUACUAGCUUUUGGCUCAUUUUCUUUUGGUCGGGAAGUCAAUGGUGACUGGACUGAAGACCUAUCACUGGAUGAACAUCAGACUGUAGAGUCAUGAGUUAUAAAGUCAGAAAAAAAGUCACUGAGAAAAAAAAAAAUAUUUUUUUAUUUUUCUUUUUUUUUUCAGUGGUGGAAACAGGCUUCCAUAGGUCACUGAUUGACAUUUUAUGACACCACCUGUUAUUUAUUUAUUUACAGACAUCAGUUCAUGCCGUUAUGAAAUCAGCACUCAGCUGGGAAGGCUUUUGAACUGUUUAUGCAGCAACUCGUUUGGACAAUGGCCUUCAGGCAGCAGUAAAACUCGCCUCCAGCAGGAACAUGAAUUCAUCAGCAUUGCACAGAAGAGUACAGCCCUCCCGAGUAUCUGUUCACUGGCAAGUACCACGGGGAACCGGCCACGGUGUGGUCACACGGGAUACUCUUGCUUGUAAUACUCUUCUGGAAAUUUCAGAGGAGACGAGACCUUUGCAAAGAUCAAUGAUAAAAUCUGGACCAAAGAUGGCUUGUCACAAUGUGAGGUCUUCAUUUCAACUUCAUUUAUUUAUUCUAAAUCUUACUAGAACAAAUAUAUGAGGCAGAAAAAGCAACUUCUGAGUCUAGUGGCUUAGUUGAUGUACUUUUGAUAAAUUUACUGUCAAUCAGAAGAUUUUAGUGUGAAGUUUAAGGUAAUAAUCAGACUAAAAUCUCUCUAAAAUCUAGCGCUGUCACAUUGUGAAACUGAAUGAUUUGUAAAUUAUGCUUGGCGGGCCAUAUUAUACGCUUCAAUAGCUGUGGGCCAUUUGAAAUUCAUCCACGGGCUGGACUUUGGACACCCCUGCCUUAUCAUAUCUGAUAUUUUGAGAGACUUAGUGACUUUGUGAAUGUUUGAGUGUUUUUGCUCUAUAUUUCACCAAUAAAAAUGUCCAAAUAAAAAAGGGCA